GUUUGAUCUUGCUGAUGUUGGUGAUACUGCAUCAGGAACUGAUUGGAUGAUAUCUAGGAGCCAUCAGUUCUUGAUGCACUCCCUUCAGCAUCGAAAGA
Cyprinus carpio carpio is the source of this 98-nucleotide microRNA precursor. The record is from Ensembl. NCBI's taxonomy places the organism in Eukaryota, Metazoa, Chordata, Actinopteri, Cypriniformes, Cyprinidae.